RNAcentral lists this ribosomal RNA (448 nucleotides) under uncultured bacterium. RNAcentral describes it as "bacterial SSU rRNA". It matches the Rfam family "Bacterial small subunit ribosomal RNA", at positions 330 to 793 of the family's 1533-position model. The record is from RNAcentral.
UCCAGACUCCUACGGGAGGCAGCAGUGGGGAAUAUUGCACAAUGGGCGAAAGCCUGAUGCAGCAACGCCGCGUGAAGGAAGAAGGCCUUCGGGUCGUAAACUUCUGUCCUUGGGGAAGAAGAACUGACGGUACCUCAUGAAUAAGCCACGGCUAACUACGUGCCAGCAGCCGCGGUAAUACGUAGGUGGCAAGCGUUAUCCGGAUUUACUGGGUGUAAAGGGCGUGUAGGCGGGACUGCAAGUCAGAUGUGAAAAUUAUGGGCUCAACCCAUAACCUGCAUUUGAAACUGUAGUUCUUGAGUGAUGGAGAGGCAGGCGGAAUUCCGUGUGUAGCGGUGAAAUGCGUAGAUAUACGGAGGAACACCAGUGGCGAAGGCGGCCUGCUGGACAUUAACUGACGCUGAGGCGCGAAAGCGUGGGGAGCGAACAGGAUUAGAUACCCUGGUAC